Molecule: unclassified non-coding RNA, 140 nt
Filed under: uncultured Ascomycota
Lineage: Eukaryota; Fungi; Ascomycota
Description: sequence contains ITS1
Source: RNAcentral
UCGUGGGGCUUCGGCCCUAUCGAGAUAGAACCCUUGCCUUUUUCGAGUACCGUCCGUUUCCUCGGCAGGCCCGCCUGCCAAUGGGGACCCCAAACAAACCCUUUAUGUACAGCAAUCGUCUGAGAAACAAACAAAAAUCA